This 57-nucleotide small nuclear RNA is filed under the name Cervus elaphus hippelaphus. The record is from RNAcentral. Lineage: Eukaryota; Metazoa; Chordata; Mammalia; Artiodactyla; Cervidae.
AUCGCUUUUCUGCCCUUUUGGCUAAGACCAAGUGUAGUAUUGUGCUUUACAAUUUAA